RNAcentral lists this ribosomal RNA (497 nucleotides) under uncultured bacterium. RNAcentral describes it as "partial 16S ribosomal RNA". It matches the Rfam family "Bacterial small subunit ribosomal RNA", at positions 28 to 507 of the family's 1533-position model. The record is from RNAcentral.
GAUGAACGCUGGCGGCGUGCCUAAUACAUGCAAGUCGAGCGAACAGACGAGGAGCUUUCUCCUCUGACGUUAGCGGCGGACGGGUGAGUAACACGUGGAUAACCUACCUAUAAGACUGGGAUAACUUCGGGAAACCGGAGCUAAUACCGGAUAAUAUAUUCUACCGCAUGGUUCAAUAGUGAAAGACGGUUUUCCUGUCUCUUUUAGAUGGAUCCGCGCCGCAUUAGCUAGUUGGUAAGGUAACGGCUUACCAAGGCAACGAUGCGUAGCCGACCUGAGAGGGUGAUCGGCCACACUGGAACUGAGACACGGUCCAGACUCCUACGGGAGGCAGCAGUAGGGAAUCUUCCGCAAUGGGCGAAAGCUUGACGGAGCAACGCCGCGUGAGUGAAGAAGGUCUUCGGGUCGUAAAACUCUGUUAUUAGGGAAGAAAAAAUGUGUAAGUAAAUAUGCACGUCUUGACGGUACCUAAUCAGAAAGCAACGGCUAACUACGUG